This 253-nucleotide ribosomal RNA is filed under the name uncultured bacterium. RNAcentral describes it as "partial 16S ribosomal RNA". It matches the Rfam family "Bacterial small subunit ribosomal RNA", at positions 524 to 776 of the family's 1533-position model. The record is from RNAcentral.
UACGUAGGGGGCUAGCGUUGUCCGGAUUUAUUGGGCGUAAAGAGCGCGUAGGCGGCCAGGUAGGUCUGCUGUGAAAACUCGAGGCUCAACCUCGAGACGUCGGCGGAAACCAUCUGGCUAGAGUCCGGCAGAGGAGAGUGGAAUUCCUGGUGUAGCGGUGAAAUGCGCAGAUAUCAGGAGGAACACCGAUUGCGAAGGCAGCUCGCUGGGACGUUACUGACGCUGAGACGCGAAAGCGUGGGGAGCAAACAGG